Molecule: ribosomal RNA, 991 nt
Filed under: uncultured beta proteobacterium
Lineage: Bacteria; Pseudomonadati; Pseudomonadota; Betaproteobacteria
Description: bacterial SSU rRNA
Rfam family: Bacterial small subunit ribosomal RNA
Source: RNAcentral
GUGCCAGCAGCCGCGGUAAUACGUAGGGCGCGAGCGUUAAUCGGAAUUACUGGGCGUAAAGCGUGCGCAGGCGGUUAUAUGAGACAGUUGUGAAAUCCCCGGGCUCAACCUGGGAAUUGCAUCUGUGACUGUAUAGCUAGAGUACGGUAGAGGGGGAUGGAAUUCCGCGUGUAGCAGUGAAAUGCGUAGAUAUGCGGAGGAACACCGAUGGCGAAGGCAAUCCCCUGGACCUGUACUGACGCUCAUGCACGAAAGCGUGGGGAGCAAACAGGAUUAGAUACCCUGGUAGUCCACGCCCUAAACGAUGUCAACUGGUUGUUGGGUGCAUUAGUACUCAGUAACGAAGCUAACGCGUGAAGUUGACCGCCUGGGGAGUACGGCCGCAAGGUUGAAACUCAAAGGAGUUGACGGGGGCCCGCACAAGCGGUGGAUGAUGUGGUUUAAUUCGAUGCAACGCGAAAAACCUUACCCACCUUUGACAUGUACGGAACUCGCCAGAGAUGGCUUGGUGCUCGAAAGAGAGCCGUAACACAGGUGCUGCAUGGCUGUCGUCAGCUCGUGUCGUGAGAUGUUGGGUUAAGUCCCGCAACGAGCGCAACCCUUGUCAUUAGUUGCUACGAAAGGGCACUCUAAUGAGACUGCCGGUGACAAGCCGGAGGAAGGUGGGGAUGACGUCAAGUCCUCAUGGCCCUUAUAGGUGGGGCUACACACGUCAUACAAUGGUUGGUACAAAGGGUUGCCAACCCGCGAGGGGGAGCUAAUCCCACAAAGCCAGUCGUAGUCCGGAUCGUAGUCUGCAACUCGACUACGUGAAGUCGGAAUCGCUAGUAAUCGUGGAUCAGAAUGUCACGGUGAAUACGUUCCCGGGUCCUGUACACACCGCCCGUCACACCAUGGGAGCGGGUUCUGCCAGAAGUAGUUAGCCUAACCGCAAGGAGGGCGAUUACCACGGCAGGGUUCGUGACUGGGGUGAAGUCGUAACAAGGUAACC